This 71-nucleotide transfer RNA is filed under the name Candidatus Daviesbacteria bacterium. RNAcentral describes it as "tRNA-Met". It matches the Rfam family "tRNA". From Rfam's summary of the family: Transfer RNA (tRNA) molecules are approximately 80 nucleotides in length. Their secondary structure includes four short double-helical elements and three loops (D, anti-codon, and T loops). Lineage: Bacteria; Candidatus Daviesiibacteriota. The record is from RNAcentral.
GGCAGUGUAGCUUAACGGCAAAGCGGUGCCCUCAUAAAGCACGGAUAGAGGUCCGACUCCUCUCAUUGCCA